AGUGAACGCUGGCGGUAGGCCUAACACAUGCAAGUCGAACGGCAGCACAGUAAGAGCUUGCUCUUACGGGUGGCGAGUGGCGGACGGGUGAGGAAUACAUCGGAAUCUACUUUUUCGUGGGGGAUAACGUAGGGAAACUUACGCUAAUACCGCAUACGACCUACGGGUGAAAGCAGGGGAUCUUCGGACCUUGCGCGAUUGAAUGAGCCGAUGUCGGAUUAGCUAGUUGGCGGGGUAAAGGCCCACCAAGGCGACGAUCCGUAGCUGGUCUGAGAGGAUGAUCAGCCACACUGGAACUGAGACAAGGUCCAGACUCCUGCGGGAGGCAGCAGUGGGGAAUAUUGGACAAUGGGCGGAAACCUGAUCCAGCCAUACCGCGUGGGUGAAGGAGGCCCUCGGGUUGUAAAGCCCUUUUGUUGGGAAAGAAAAGCAGCAGGUUAAUACCCCGCUGUUCUGACGGUACCCAAAGAAUAAGCACCGGCUAACUUCGUG
Molecule: ribosomal RNA, 492 nt
Filed under: uncultured bacterium
Lineage: Bacteria
Description: partial 16S ribosomal RNA
Rfam family: Bacterial small subunit ribosomal RNA
Source: RNAcentral